UGAGCCCUGGUGCCUUUGUUUGUCAUAGGUACUUUAAACCUAAUCUCUUUCCUGAUGAAUGCUCUGCAUUCUGUUGUCUGGUUUUUGGAAUGUUUUAUUUAAACAUUAGCUUGGCCUUGAAUGUCUCUUGUUUCUUUUCUAGGAGCCUGAAGCAUACAAUCAACAUGGGAAGUGAGGAGUCAGAUGCUGUGGGAUAGGUGACAAUGAGAGGCAACCUGGCUUUAAAGCUGCAAGGCUGUUUAGUGUCAAUCAAGUGUAACAUACUGCACAUGCCUCGGCUCCAAACAACAACAGCUCUUAUCGGAGUGCCGAGGAUUUUCGAUGCAGAAAGAAUGGAUGUCAAGAAAUAGUAUUUAAGUCAGCAGCCUGUGCUUUCGUCUCAUAUCCUUCUCUGCUGUCUUAAAUAUUGAAUCGCAUCUUGCAAAUUGCUGCCGUGCUAAUUCUAGCUAGUGCACCUUUUGCCAUUCCGAUUGCCUAUCAUUUCCAGGAGUUAUAGCAAUUGUUUUAUGUAUUGUAUUUUUUUCCAUUUGCAAUGCUGAAUGAUGAAUCUUAGCUUCCCUGCUGGGUAGAUAUCCUCAACAGCUAAGAGCCCUUUUCUUGGAUGCAGAGAUUUCUGUAUCCAUGUGGCCAUAGUUUAAUCUCAUCCAAUUAAAAUAAGAGCCCAAAUGCGAGUGUUGCUUUCCAUAAUACUUCUUGCAGUAUAUAUUACAUAGUGUUCUGUGGAUGAGAUAUGAAAUUCUUCAUGCAGUCCUAUCUGUCAGAAAUUAUAGCUUAUUGUUUGACUUAUUUGGUUUAUGCAUUGCAAUCAAAUUGAUUUGACCAGGACAGAAAACAGACUGAACUGUUAGCUUCCUCUGAUUGUGUUUACAGAAUGAAAUGGAAAUAAAAUGAUUGCAGUAAAACAUUGCAGAAUCUUGUCCUCUAUUCUGGAUUCCAAUCCUGUCUUCCAUUCCAUUCCUCAUCCCCAU
Molecule: long non-coding RNA, 968 nt
Filed under: Anolis carolinensis (green anole)
Lineage: Eukaryota; Metazoa; Chordata; Lepidosauria; Squamata; Anolidae
Description: lncRNA (ENSACAG00000035541.1)
Source: RNAcentral